Molecule: ribosomal RNA, 497 nt
Filed under: uncultured bacterium
Lineage: Bacteria
Description: partial 16S ribosomal RNA
Rfam family: Bacterial small subunit ribosomal RNA
Source: RNAcentral
GAUGAACGCUGACGGCGUGCCUAAUACAUGCAAGUCGAGCGAACGGACGAGAAGCUUGCUUCUCUGAUGUUAGCGGCGGACGGGUGAGUAACACGUGGAUAACCUACCUAUAAGACUGGGAUAACUUCGGGAAACCGGAGCUAAUACCGGAUAAUAUUUUGAACCGCAUGGUUCAAAAGUGAAAGACGGUCUUGCUGUCACUUAUAGAUGGAUCCGCGCUGCAUUAGCUUGUUGGUAAGGUAACGGCUUACCAAGGCAACGAUGCAUAGCCGACCUGAGAGGGUGAUCGGCCACACUGGAACUGAGACACGGUCCAGACUCCUACGGGGGGCAGCAGUAGGGAAUCUUCCGCAAUGGGCGAAAGCCUGACGGAGCAACGCCGCGUGAGUGAUGAAGGUCUUCGGAUCGUAAAACUCUGUUAUUAGGGAAGAACAUAUGUGUAAGUAACUGUGCACAUCUUGACGGUACCUAAUCAGAAAGCCACGGCUAACUACGUG